RNAcentral lists this ribosomal RNA (460 nucleotides) under uncultured bacterium. RNAcentral's name for it is "partial 16S ribosomal RNA". It matches the Rfam family "Bacterial small subunit ribosomal RNA", at positions 338 to 795 of the family's 1533-position model. The record is from RNAcentral.
CCUACGGGUGGCAGCAGUGAGGAAUAUUGGUCAAUGGCCGGAAGGCUGAACCAGCCAUGCCGCGUGAAGGUCAGUGCCCUAUGGGCGUUAAACUUCUUUUGUGCGGGAGCAAUAAUGGUCACGUGUGGCCAGACGAGAGUACCGUACGAAUAAGCAUCGGCUAACUCCGUGCCAGCAGCCGCGGUAAUACGGGGGAUGCAAGCGUUAUCCGGAUUUAUUGGGUUUAAAGGGUGCGUAGGCUGUUAGGUAAGUCAGCGGUGAAAUGCCCCCGCUCAACGGGGUGAAGUGCCAUUGAUACUGCCUGGCUGGAAUGCGGAUGCCGUGGGAGGAAUGUGUGGUGUAGCGGUGAAAUGCAUAGAUAUCACACAGAACACUGAUUGCGAAGGCAUCUCACGAAUCCGCGAUUGAUGCUGAUGCACGAAAGCGUGGGUAUCAAACAGGAUUAGAUACCCUUGUAGUC